Molecule: non-coding RNA, 215 nt
Organism: Paramuricea clavata
Lineage: Eukaryota; Metazoa; Cnidaria; Anthozoa; Malacalcyonacea; Plexauridae
Source: the annotation of a GenBank genome assembly
GUGGCUUCCUAACGACUCGAGUGCCGAAGGCAUGGGCUCCCUAGGGGUCCAGCGGUAUGCUCUCGGAAAAUUUUGAAAAUUAGAACACUAGAAAUGCCUUUUCCUGCGAUAUGGGCAUUGAAUUAUGAGCUUCAGUUUGACUUCAAAAAAGGAAAAACCUUGGAAAUUAUGCCAUAUUCUGAAUUUGAUUACUUUGCACCCCCCUUGCACCCCUG